Long non-coding RNA from Perca flavescens (yellow perch), 213 nucleotides. RefSeq lists it as uncharacterized. The record is from RefSeq and is a predicted model, not a curated record. NCBI's taxonomy places the organism in Eukaryota, Metazoa, Chordata, Actinopteri, Perciformes, Percidae. The transcript is spliced from 3 exons.
AUGGAAGCGCAACAAAAAGGCUACACCACUUAAUCCCUUGUGGAUCAAAUUCCUUGGAGAGGCGGGGAUUGAUACAGGGGCCCUUAGAAAAGAGUUUCUGACCACAAUGGUAUCUGGGAUUGAGCAACGCCUUUUUGAAGGUGGGAAGUCCAAAAUGCCCAAAUAUUCUGUGAAUGACUUAGAUGAGGAGCUCUUCAGGAUUGCGGGUGAAAU